AACGAACGCUGGCGGCAUGCCUAACACAUGCAAGUCGAACGAGACCUUCGGGUCUAGUGGCGCACGGGUGCGUAACGCGUGGGAACCUGCCCUUAGGUUCGGAAUAACUCCCCGAAAGGGGUGCUAAUACCGGAUAAUGUCUUCGGACCAAAGAUUUAUCGCCUUUGGAUGGGCCCGCGUUGGAUUAGCUAGUUGGUAGGGUAAAAGCCUACCAAGGCGACGAUCCAUAGCUGGUCUGAGAGGAUGAUCAGCCACACUGGGACUGAGACACGGCCCAGACUCCUACGGGAGGCAGCAGUGGGGAAUAUUGGACAAUGGGCGAAAGCCUGACCCAGCAAUGCCGCGUGAGUGAUGAAGGCCUUAGGGUUGUAAAGCUCUUUUACCCGGGAUGAUAAUGACAGUACCGGGAGAAUAAGCUCCGGCUAACUCCGUG
RNAcentral lists this ribosomal RNA (433 nucleotides) under uncultured bacterium. Its description in RNAcentral is "partial 16S ribosomal RNA". It matches the Rfam family "Bacterial small subunit ribosomal RNA", at positions 29 to 507 of the family's 1533-position model. The record is from RNAcentral.